Molecule: transfer RNA, 63 nt
Filed under: Caudoviricetes sp.
Lineage: Duplodnaviria; Heunggongvirae; Uroviricota; Caudoviricetes
Description: tRNA-OTHER
Rfam family: tRNA
About the family: Transfer RNA (tRNA) molecules are approximately 80 nucleotides in length. Their secondary structure includes four short double-helical elements and three loops (D, anti-codon, and T loops).
Source: RNAcentral
GGGAGCUUAGUUUAAUGGCAAAACACCAUACCGAGAUUGGAAGUUCGACUCUUCUAGCUUCCC